RNAcentral lists this ribosomal RNA (550 nucleotides) under uncultured bacterium. RNAcentral's name for it is "bacterial SSU rRNA". It matches the Rfam family "Bacterial small subunit ribosomal RNA", at positions 355 to 896 of the family's 1533-position model. The record is from RNAcentral.
UAGGGAAUCUUCCGCAAUGGGCGAAAGCCUGACGGAGCAACGCCGCGUGAGUGAUGAAGGUCUUCGGAUCGUAAAACUCUGUUAUUAGGGAAGAACAUAUGUGUAAGUAACUGUGCACAUCUUGACGGUACCUAAUCAGAAAGCCACGGCUAACUACGUGCCAGCAGCCGCGGUAAUACGUAGGUGGCAAGCGUUAUCCGGAAUUAUUGGGCGUAAAGCGCGCGUAGGCGGUUUUUUAAGUCUGAUGUGAAAGCCCACGGCUCAACCGUGGAGGGUCAUUGGAAACUGGAAAACUUGAGUGCAGAAGAGGAAAGUGGAAUUCCAUGUGUAGCGGUGAAAUGCGCAGAGAUACGGAGGAACACCAGUGGCGAAGGCGACUUUCUGGUCUGUAACUGACGCUGAUGUGCGAAAGCGUGGGGAUCAAACAGGAUUAGAUACCCUGGUAGUCCACGCCGUAAACGAUGAGUGCUAAGUGUUAGGGGGUUUCCGCCCCUUAGUGCUGCAGCUAACGCAUUAAGCACUCCGCCUGGGGAGUACGACCGCAAGGUUG